Mauremys mutica (yellowpond turtle) is the source of this 686-nucleotide long non-coding RNA. RefSeq lists it as uncharacterized. The transcript has 3 exons. Lineage: Eukaryota; Metazoa; Chordata; Testudines; Geoemydidae. The record is from RefSeq and is a predicted model, not a curated record.
GCCUAGCCUUUGGAGCACCUACAACUCUUGCCUCUGGGUUUCUGGUGCCCUGAGCACACUACCAGGUACCUGGAGGGGCCUGGUGUACCACAGCAACACCUGCAGUGGGAUUACAGCGCAAAGAAUACUCCAAAUUCCAAGUCCAAUCUGACCAAUGGGCAGUAAACAUGUGUUUCAGAUGUCUGAAAUUGGAACAGCUGCAACAAUACGAGGAAUGUAGAUUGCCUUGUUUCCCAUAUGUGGACUGAAGACACAAGUGAAUCUACAGGGUUCUGGGCAAAUGAUAAGAAGAAUGUUAUCCCCAUAUAUAUGUAAACACCUUUCAUCCCAAAGGAAGCCAAAGCACAACCAAUGGGUCACAUUCACCCUUACUUCAUGGCAUCUCCUUGUACCAGCCCAGCCUGCUGUGACCAGGCAGAUCAGCCUAUAGGUAGGCAGGCAUUGUUUCCAUUCCUCCCUCCAUGAGGCAUCUAUCAAGGGCAGGGAGGCUUGAUUUUAUGCUCAAGAAUCCUACAAGGUUCCCAGGAGUAGAGGCUGCAGUGGAGAUGUGCUGCAGCCUGGCCCAGUCAGUACCACUCACUUUGGGGGUUGGAACUGGAUGCCUGGGGAGCUACUCCAGCAGGGAGGAGACUGUUUUGUGGUGCCACAGCCCCUGGGAGCAGACUCUCUGCUACCAUAAAACUUCC